Molecule: unclassified non-coding RNA, 374 nt
Filed under: Hevea brasiliensis (rubber tree)
Lineage: Eukaryota; Viridiplantae; Streptophyta; Magnoliopsida; Malpighiales; Euphorbiaceae
Source: RNAcentral
AAUCUCUCUUCUUCCUCGCGUGGCCAUAUGCCAAGUCCAAGGAAGAAACCCAGGCGCGUGAGCAACGAGGGCAAGCGUAACGGGAAAGCGAGGAAAAUCAAGCCGGUAUACUCCAACUUUGUUUUCUUCCUCAAAGCGUUCUUUAUCGUCUGAUAUCGCAGCACGCAAGAACCGUCCUUGGAAUAACGGGAAAGUGAAGGUUGUUUUGUGUAUUAGCUCGUCUUGUCCAGUCGCCGCCCACAACAAGGUAAACAACUCGUAAUCUUUGGUUUCUCUUUUUGAGUUGAUUUGAUGGGUAGUUCUUCCGAGAUCCUAAGAUGAGUUUCUGCGAUGUGUUCAAUUUAUGUUUUUCCCUUCAUUUUUUUUAAUGUUAG